GGAAGUAAAAGUCGUAACAAGGUUUCCGUAGGUGAACCUGCGGAAGGAUCAUUACCGAGUGUAGGGUUCCUAGCGAGCCCAACCUCCCACCCGUGUUUACUGUACCUUAGUUGCUUCGGCGGGCCCGCCAUUCAUGGCCGCCGGGGGCUCUCAGCCCCGGGCCCGCGCCCGCCGGAGACACCACGAACUCUGUCUGAUCUAGUGAAGUCUGAGUUGAUUGUAUCGCAAUCAGUUAAAACUUUCAACAAUGGAUCUCUUGGUUCCGGCAUCGAUGAAGAACGCAGCGAAAUGCGAUAACUAGUGUGAAUUGCAGAAUUCCGUGAAUCAUCGAGUCUUUGAACGCACAUUGCGCCCCCUGGUAUUCCGGGGGGCAUGCCUGUCCGAGCGUCAUUGCUGCCCAUCAAGCACGGCUUGUGUGUUGGGUCGUCGUCCCCUCUCCGGGGGGGACGGGCCCCAAAGGCAGCGGCGGCACCGCGUCCGAUCCUCGAGCGUAUGGGGCUUUGUCACCCGCUCUGUAGGCCCGGCCGGCGCUUGCCGAACGCAAAUCAAUCUUUUUCCAGGUUGACCUCGGAUCAGGUAGGGAUACCCGCUGAACUUAAGCAU
This 603-nucleotide ribosomal RNA is filed under the name fungal sp. 57524. Its description in RNAcentral is "eukaryotic LSU rRNA". The stretch from base 237 to 390 matches the Rfam family "5.8S ribosomal RNA". The record is from RNAcentral. Lineage: Eukaryota; Fungi.